GACGAACGCCGGCGGCACGCCUAAUACAUGCAAGUCGAGCGAAUGAUGAAGAAGCUUGCCUCUUCUGAUUUAGCGGCGGACGGGUGAGUAACACGUGGGCAACCUGCCCCGUAGAUUGGGAUAACUCCGGGAAACCGGGGCUAAUACCGAAUAAUCCAUUUCCUCUCAUGGGGAAAUGUUAAAAGACGGUUUCGGCUGUCACUACAGGGUGGGCCCGCGGCGCAUUAGCUAGUUGGUGAGGUAACGGCUCACCAAGGCGACGAUGCGUAGCCGACCCGAGAGGGUGAUCGGCCACACUGGGACUGAGACACGGCCCAG
Molecule: ribosomal RNA, 318 nt
Filed under: uncultured bacterium
Lineage: Bacteria
Description: bacterial SSU rRNA
Rfam family: Bacterial small subunit ribosomal RNA
Source: RNAcentral